GACGAACGCUGGCGGCGUGCCUAAUACAUGCAAGUCGAACGCAGUGGGGACGGUGGAGUAACACGUGGGUAACCUCCCAUCAGAGGGGAUAACACUUGGAAACAGGUGCUCAACCGAUCUUGAUGGAUGGACCCGCGGUGCAUUAGCUAGUUGGUGCGGUAACGGCUCACCAAGGACACGAGGCAUAGCCGACCUGAGGUGGUGACCUGCCCCACUGGAACUGAGACCCGGUCCAGACUCCUCCGUUAGGCAGCAGUAGGGAAUCUUCGGCAAUGGACGAAAGCCUGACCGAGCACGGCCGCGUGAGUGAAGAAGUUUUUCGGAUCGUAAAACUCUGUUGUUAGAGAAGCGGUAUCUAACCAGAAAGCCACGGCUAACUACGUGCCAGCAGCCGCGGUAAUUC
This 403-nucleotide ribosomal RNA is filed under the name uncultured bacterium. Its description in RNAcentral is "partial 16S ribosomal RNA". It matches the Rfam family "Bacterial small subunit ribosomal RNA", at positions 28 to 526 of the family's 1533-position model. The record is from RNAcentral.